CUGGCUUAACUUGCUAUUCAAUACUCUGAUCCUCACUCGAGUGCGAUAAGAAAGCAGCUCCCGUUGAAUAAGCACAAUGCAAUCAAUAUUCCACUUCGUAAUGCUUUCAUUAGCAAUGAUUGCUUUGUUGAGUGGCUUUGCGAUAGCCCAAGGAGGAGGCAAUCCAGGUGCUCCCGGCGCUCCACCUGGUGGACCAGGCGCACCAGGCAAUCCCGGAGGUUAAUAAUUUGAAGUAUAAUGAAUUUAUAUUUCUUUAUUUUAAAUUAAAAUAUAAUACAUGCAUACAUACAAUACAUAAAAA
Bactrocera oleae (olive fruit fly) is the source of this 301-nucleotide long non-coding RNA. RefSeq lists it as uncharacterized. The record is from RefSeq and is a predicted model, not a curated record. NCBI's taxonomy places the organism in Eukaryota, Metazoa, Arthropoda, Insecta, Diptera, Tephritidae.